CCUACGGGUGGCAGCAGUGGGGAAUAUUGCACAAUGGGCGAAAGCCUGAUGCAGCAACGCCGCGUGAGCGAUGAAGGCCUUCGGGGCGUAAAGCUCUGUCCUCAAGGAAGAUAAUGACGGUACGUGAGGAGGAAGCCCCGGCUAACUACGUGGCAGCAGCCGCGGUAAUACGUAGGGGGCUAGCGUUAUCCGGAAUUACUGGGCGUAAAGGGUGCGUAGGUGGUUUCUUAAGUCAGAGGUGAAAGGCUACGGCUAAACCGGAGUAAGCCUUUGAAACUGGGGAACUGGAGUGCAGGAGAGGAGAGUGGAAUUCCUAGUGUAGCGGUGAAAUGCGUAGAUAUUAGGAGGAACACCAGUUGCGAAGGCGGCUCUCUGGACUGUAACUGACACUGAGGCACGAAAGCGUGGGGAGCAAACAGGAUUAGAUACCCUUGUAGUC
Molecule: ribosomal RNA, 439 nt
Filed under: uncultured bacterium
Lineage: Bacteria
Description: partial 16S ribosomal RNA
Rfam family: Bacterial small subunit ribosomal RNA
Source: RNAcentral